GACGAACGCUGGCGGCGUGCUUAACACAUGCAAGUCGAACGGAAAGGCCCUGCUUUUGUGGGGUGCUCGAGUGGCGAACGGGUGAGUAACACGUGAGUAACCUGCCCUUGACUUUGGGAUAACUUCAGGAAACUGGGGCUAAUACCGGAUAGGAGCUCCUGCUGCAUGGUGGGGGUUGGAAAGUUUCGGCGGUUGGGGAUGGACUCGCGGCUUAUCAGCUUGUUGGUGGGGUAGUGGCUUACCAAGGCUUUGACGGGUAGCCGGCCUGAGAGGGUGACCGGCCACAUUGGGACUGAGAUCCGGCCCAGACUCCUACGGGAGGCAGCAGUGGGGAAUAUUGAACAAUGGGCGGAAGCCUGAUGCAGCAACGCCGCGUGCGGGAUGACGGCCUUCGGGUUGUAAACCGCUUUCGCCUGUGACGAAGCGUGAGUGACGGUAAUGGGUAAAGAAGCACCGGCUAACUACGUG
This 468-nucleotide ribosomal RNA is filed under the name uncultured bacterium. Its description in RNAcentral is "partial 16S ribosomal RNA". It matches the Rfam family "Bacterial small subunit ribosomal RNA", at positions 28 to 507 of the family's 1533-position model. The record is from RNAcentral.